GUAGGUGGCAAGCGUUGUCCGGAAUUAUUGGGCGUAAAGCGCGCGCAGGUGGUUCUUUAAGUCUGAUGUGAAAGCCCCCGGCUCAACCGGGGAGGGUCAUUGGGAACUGGGGAACUUGAGUGCAGGAGAGGAAAGUGGAAUUCCACGUGUAGCGGUGAAAUGCGUAGAUAUGUGGAGGAACACCAGUGGCGAAGGCGACUUUCUGGCCUGUAACUGACACUGAGGCGCGAAAGCGUGGGGAGCAAACAGGGAUUAGAUACCCUGGUAGUCCACGCCGUAAACGAUGAGUGCUAAGUGUUGGGGGGGUUUCCCGCCCCUCAGUGCUGCAGCUAACGCAUUAAGCACUCCGCCUGGGGAGUACGGUCGCAAGACUG
RNAcentral lists this ribosomal RNA (374 nucleotides) under uncultured organism. RNAcentral describes it as "partial 16S ribosomal RNA". It matches the Rfam family "Bacterial small subunit ribosomal RNA", at positions 527 to 896 of the family's 1533-position model. The record is from RNAcentral.